Molecule: small RNA, 93 nt
Filed under: Escherichia coli
Lineage: Bacteria; Pseudomonadati; Pseudomonadota; Gammaproteobacteria; Enterobacterales; Enterobacteriaceae
Description: partial RtT sRNA
Rfam family: RtT RNA
About the family: This family represents a bacterial cis-regulatory element known as RtT RNA. The exact function of RtT is unknown although it is thought that it may be involved in changing the cellular response in relation to amino acid starvation.
Source: RNAcentral
AUUCUGCCCAAGCGGCGAAGGAUGAGAAGCUUCGACCAAGGUUCGACUUGAGCGCCAGCGAGAGAGCGUUGCCGCAGGCAACGACCCGAAGGG